Sinocyclocheilus anshuiensis is the source of this 119-nucleotide ribosomal RNA. The record is from Ensembl. Lineage: Eukaryota; Metazoa; Chordata; Actinopteri; Cypriniformes; Cyprinidae.
GCUUACGGCCAUACUACCCUGUCUGCGCCUGAUCUCGUCUGAUCUCGGAAGCUAAGCAGGGUCGGGCCUGGUUAGUACUUGGAUGGGAAACUGCCUGGGAAUACCAGGUGCUGUAAGCU